This 492-nucleotide ribosomal RNA is filed under the name uncultured bacterium. RNAcentral describes it as "partial 16S ribosomal RNA". It matches the Rfam family "Bacterial small subunit ribosomal RNA", at positions 29 to 507 of the family's 1533-position model. The record is from RNAcentral.
AGUGAACGCUGGCGGUAGGCCUAACACAUGCAAGUCGAACGGCAGCACAGUAAGAGCUUGCUCUUACGGGUGGCGAGUGGCGGACGGGUGCGGAAUACAUCGGAAUCUACUUUUUCGUGGGGGAUAACGUAGGGAAACUUACGCUAAUACCGCAUACGACCUACGUGUGAAAGCAGGGGAUCUUCGGACCUUGCGCGAUUGAAUGAGCCGAUGUCGGAUUAGCUAGUUGGCGGGGUAAAGGCCCACCAAGGCGACGAUCCGUAGCUGGUCUGAGAGGAUGAUCAGCCACACUGGAACUGAGACACGGUCCAGACUCCUACGGGAGGCAGCAGUGGGGAAUAUUGGACAAUGGGCGCAAGCCUGAUACAGCCAUACCGCGUGGGUGAAGAAGGCCUUCGGGUUGUAAAGCCCUUUUGUUGGGAAAGAAAAGCAGCAGGUUAAUACCCCGCUGUUCCGACGGUACCCAAAGAAUAAGCACCGGCUAACUUCGUG